Fukomys damarensis (Damara mole-rat) is the source of this 83-nucleotide microRNA precursor. The record is from Ensembl. Lineage: Eukaryota; Metazoa; Chordata; Mammalia; Rodentia; Bathyergidae.
GGCUGUGGCUGGAUUCAAGUAAUCCAGGAUAGGCUGUUUCCAUCUGUGAGGCCUAUUCUUGAUUACUUGUUUCUGGAGGCAGC